Paramacrobiotus metropolitanus is the source of this 881-nucleotide long non-coding RNA. RefSeq lists it as uncharacterized. The transcript has 4 exons. NCBI's taxonomy places the organism in Eukaryota, Metazoa, Tardigrada, Eutardigrada, Parachela, Macrobiotidae. The record is from RefSeq and is a predicted model, not a curated record.
UACACACACCUUACCCAGUGUCUUGGGGAAAUCCAGCUUUUCGGAAGGUGUGGCGGCAGGAAUAGCCUUUAGUAUUAUAUUGCUAGUGGUACUUUUUCUGGUGCUUUUAUCCCUGCUCUGGCAGUACGUCGAAAACGACCGGAAGAAGGUUGAUAACGGCUGUAUUGGAUCAACUCGUCAAAGGAAGCGGAAAUUGUCGGAUAUUCCAGAAGAUGCGCAGAGUCAAAACGCGGACUUACAUCGAGCAUCUGCGACUUACAUCGAAACGAGAAAUAGGCGUACCAAGUCCCAAUUGGCUGGGCUUCGAUGUAAGUCGCUUUUUGCUCGAUGUCUGUCGUUAGGCGUCGACGAAAACCGUUACCAACAUGGGCGUACCUUGUAACGGGUCUAAGCGACGCCCAGGAGAUCGGUGGAUCUAGUCUGCAUACCGAGUCAAACAAUUCGGAAACUUGCAACAUAACCAGACCCGGUCAGGCAGACGAUGGACGCACGAGGGAAGCAUUUGGCGGUUCUAAUGGUAACCAGUGUCAUAACGGGAUGCCUUAGCAUCACGCUGUUUACCUAAAUCACCGAUACACGCCUGCCGAACGGUUAUUUACUGCCAUCCGCAGUUUGUCUCUGCAAAUUUUCUCGCUAUUUAAGAGAAAUUGUCUCGUAGCUCUUGGUUUUAACCAACAUUGUGCAUCGCUUUCUUAUUUUAAUCCAACCAACUAACAUCCAAUUUUGGACGAUGGCAACAGACGCAUUCUGAAAUUCGGUUUAUGUUAUACGCCCUGGGUAGAAUGAAGUUCUCUCUGCUGCUUCCUUCCCACAGUUUAAAUGAAUCCCCGGUUGGCGCGAUCACACUACUGUUCCAAGCGUUUAUUGUCAAAAUACUUAGC